This 467-nucleotide ribosomal RNA is filed under the name uncultured bacterium. RNAcentral describes it as "partial 16S ribosomal RNA". It matches the Rfam family "Bacterial small subunit ribosomal RNA", at positions 28 to 507 of the family's 1533-position model. The record is from RNAcentral.
GAUGAACGCUGGCGGCGCGCCUAACACAUGCAAGUCGAACGAUUAAAGCACCUUCGGGUGUGUAUAAAGUGGCGAACGGCUGAGUAACACGUGGGCAACCUGCCCCUCUCAUUGGGAUAGCCACGGGAAACCGUGGAUAAUACCGAAUACUUCGGGACUUCCGCAUGGAAGACUCGAGAAAGCUCCGGCGGAGAGGGAUGGGCCCGCGGCCUGUUAGCUUGUUGGUGGGGUAAUGGCCUACCAAGGCAAUGAUGGGUAGCUGGGUUGAGAGACCGACCAGCCAGAUUGGGACUGAGACACGGCCCAGACUCCUACGGGAGGCAGCAGUGGGGAAUCUUGCACAAUGGGCGAAAGCCUGAUGCAGCGACGCCGCGUGCGGGAUGAAGGCCUUCGGGUUGUAAACCGCCUUCAGCAGGGACGAGGCGAAAGUGACGGUACCUGCAGAAGAAGCCCCGGCUAACUACGUG